CCUACGGGGGGCAGCAGUGAGGAAUAUUGCGCAAUGGGGGCAACCCUGACGCAGCAACGCCGCGUGUGGGAAGAAGGCGUUUCGGGUUGUAAACCACUUUUGCCCGGGACGAAAAGGGGCGUCAGAAUACGGCGCUCCGAUGACGGUACCGGGAGAAUAAGCCACGGCUAACUCUGUGCC
RNAcentral lists this ribosomal RNA (180 nucleotides) under uncultured bacterium. Its description in RNAcentral is "partial 16S ribosomal RNA". It matches the Rfam family "Bacterial small subunit ribosomal RNA", at positions 338 to 509 of the family's 1533-position model. The record is from RNAcentral.